Molecule: ribosomal RNA, 1113 nt
Filed under: Vibrio sp. 773M
Lineage: Bacteria; Pseudomonadati; Pseudomonadota; Gammaproteobacteria; Vibrionales; Vibrionaceae
Description: bacterial SSU rRNA
Rfam family: Bacterial small subunit ribosomal RNA
Source: RNAcentral
CUGAUGCGCCAUGCCGCGUGUGUGAAGAAGGCCUUCGGGUUGUAAAGCACUUUCAGUCGUGAGGAAGGUAGUGUAGUUAAUAGCUGCAUUAUUUGACGUUAGCGACAGAAGAAGCACCGGCUAACUCCGUGCCAGCAGCCGCGGUAAUACGGAGGGUGCGAGCGUUAAUCGGAAUUACUGGGCGUAAAGCGCAUGCAGGUGGUUUGUUAAGUCAGAUGUGAAAGCCCGGGGCUCAACCUCGGAAUAGCAUUUGAAACUGGCAGACUAGAGUACUGUAGAGGGGGGUAGAAUUUCAGGUGUAGCGGUGAAAUGCGUAGAGAUCUGAAGGAAUACCGGUGGCGAAGGCGGCCCCCUGGACAGAUACUGACACUCAGAUGCGAAAGCGUGGGGAGCAAACAGGAUUAGAUACCCUGGUAGUCCACGCCGUAAACGAUGUCUACUUGGAGGUUGUGGCCUUGAGCCGUGGCUUUCGGAGCUAACGCGUUAAGUAGACCGCCUGGGGAGUACGGUCGCAAGAUUAAAACUCAAAUGAAUUGACGGGGGCCCGCACAAGCGGUGGAGCAUGUGGUUUAAUUCGAUGCAACGCGAAGAACCUUACCUACUCUUGACAUCCAGAGAACUUUCCAGAGAUGGAUUGGUGCCUUCGGGAACUCUGAGACAGGUGCUGCAUGGCUGUCGUCAGCUCGUGUUGUGAAAUGUUGGGUUAAGUCCCGCAACGAGCGCAACCCUUAUCCUUGUUUGCCAGCGAGUAAUGUCGGGAACUCCAGGGAGACUGCCGGUGAUAAACCGGAGGAAGGUGGGGACGACGUCAAGUCAUCAUGGCCCUUACGAGUAGGGCUACACACGUGCUACAAUGGCGCAUACAGAGGGCGGCCAACUUGCGAAAGUGAGCGAAUCCCAAAAAGUGCGUCGUAGUCCGGAUUGGAGUCUGCAACUCGACUCCAUGAAGUCGGAAUCGCUAGUAAUCGUGGAUCAGAAUGCCACGGUGAAUACGUUCCCGGGCCUUGUACACACCGCCCGUCACACCAUGGGGAGUGGGCUGCAAAAGAAGUAGGUAGUUUAACCUUCCGGGGGGACGCUUACCACUUUGUGGUUCAUGACUGGGGUGAGCGC